RNAcentral lists this ribosomal RNA (251 nucleotides) under uncultured prokaryote. RNAcentral describes it as "partial 16S rRNA". It matches the Rfam family "Bacterial small subunit ribosomal RNA", at positions 525 to 775 of the family's 1533-position model. The record is from RNAcentral.
ACGGAGGGUGCAAGCGUUGUCCGGAUUUAUUGGGCGUAAAGCACGUGCAGGCGGUCUGGUAUGUCGAGUGUGAAAUCCCGGGGCUUAACCCCGGAACUGCGCUCGAAACUGCCAGUCUUGAGUUCGGAAGGGGGAGAUGGAAUUUCCGGUGUAGGGGUGAAAUCCGUAGAUAUCGGGAAGAAUACCGGUGGCGAAGGUGAUAUCCUGGUUCGAUACUGACGGUCAGACGUGAAAGCGUGGGUAGCAAACAG